AUUGAACGCUGGCGGCAUGCCUUACACAUGCAAGUCGAACGGUAACAGGUUAAGCUGACGAGUGGCGAACGGGUGAGUAAUGUAUCGGAACGUGCCCAGUCGUGGGGGAUAACUGCUCGAAAGAGCAGCUAAUACCGCAUACGACCUGAGGGUGAAAGCGGGGGAUCGCAAGACCUCGCGCGAUUGGAGCGGCCGAUAUCAGAUUAGGUAGUUGGUGAGGUAAAGGCUCACCAAGCCGACGAUCUGUAGCUGGUCUGAGAGGACGACCAGCCACACUGGGACUGAGACACGGCCCAGACUCCUACGGGAGGCAGCAGUGGGGAAUUUUGGACAAUGGGCGCAAGCCUGAUCCAGCCAUGCCGCGUGCGGGAAGAAGGCCUGCGGGUUGUAAACCGCUUUUGUCAGGGAAGAAAAGGUUCUGGCUAAUACCUGGGACUCAUGACGGUACCGGAAGAAUAAGCACCGGCUAACUACGG
RNAcentral lists this ribosomal RNA (476 nucleotides) under uncultured bacterium. RNAcentral describes it as "partial 16S ribosomal RNA". It matches the Rfam family "Bacterial small subunit ribosomal RNA", at positions 29 to 506 of the family's 1533-position model. The record is from RNAcentral.